RNAcentral lists this long non-coding RNA (170 nucleotides) under Falco tinnunculus (common kestrel). RNAcentral describes it as "lncRNA (ENSFTIG00000011736.1)". Lineage: Eukaryota; Metazoa; Chordata; Aves; Falconiformes; Falconidae. The record is from RNAcentral.
ACUUCUAUUGAUAACAGGGAUAAGAGGGAAACCCUCUAAUUUUGCCUAAGUGUUUUGAUAAUCAGCAGUAAUGGGAAAAAGCAGAAGAACGUCCAUCAUCGCUUUAAUGGUAAAGUCUUACUGAGACAAAGGAAUAGAUGGAAGAAAUAAAGACACAGCAGUGAACCAAA